GCUAGGUACAAUUUCCUGAAAUUCUCUCCUAUUUUAUUUAUUCCCAUGUCUGAAUCUAUGCUCAAAAUAAGAUUGCAUAAAGUUUCCUUCCUGAACUGCUCUUGCCCCUCAAUCACAUGACAUCAUAUUAAGCCACACUGAGCUCAUCGGCCCAGCCAGAAGGUUAUAUUGAAUGUUAUACAAGCUUCAGCAACAUCUCCGGCAAAGUCUUCAACUCUUUCUGGAGGGACAACUCAUGUUUUUGGUUCCUUGAUUUGCCCAUUGGGUACAGAAUUGAGUUGGAAAUUCCUUUUCUCAAGUGA
RNAcentral lists this long non-coding RNA (302 nucleotides) under Canis lupus familiaris (dog). Its description in RNAcentral is "lncRNA (ENSCAFG00000035092.3, ENSCAFG00845023676.1)". The record is from RNAcentral. Lineage: Eukaryota; Metazoa; Chordata; Mammalia; Carnivora; Canidae.